AAGAUGUCUCGGGAAGUGUGCUGUCUCCCCGGGGCUAAGAUCCAAGAUGUAACUGAACGACUGCAAGGAAUCAUAAAACCCACUGACAAAUACCCCUUCCUCUUGGUUCAUGUGGGAACCAAUGACACUGCAAGCAAUAGCCUCCAGAAGAUCAAAAGAGACUACGAGGCUCUGGGCAGGAAAUUGAAGCAAUUAAAUGCACAAAUUGUGAUCUCAUCUGUCCUCCCAGUGAACGACGUGGUCCAGGGAGAGAGGGGAAAAUAGUGGAAGUGAACAGCUGGCUUCGCAAAUGGUGUAAACAGGAACGGUUUGGAUUCUUAGAUCACGGACUGCAGUUUCUUGAAGAUGGACUUCUGGCAAGCGAUGGGCUGCACCUCACAACGGUUGGGAGAAAUGUUUUUGCCAAAAAUCUCAGAAACCUCAUCAGGAGGGCUUUAAACUGACUAAUGUGGGGGAGGGAGACAGUGCUCCUGAAGGUAGGAGUCUAUCAAUUGAUGAAGAUGAUCAUCCAAAUGUCAUAGACCAAAUGGAGCAAACAGCACACAGACCUAGUGGUGGGAGGAAAAAUCCUUAAAUAAGAGUCACGGGGAAUGAUUAAUGGACUUCAAUGUCUGUACACUAAUGCGCAAAGCAUGGGAAAUAAACAAGAUGAGCUUGAGCUCUUGGUACAGCAAACUAAAUAUGACAUAAUAGGCAUCACUGAAACCUGGUGGGAUAAGUCCCACGAUUGGAAUGUAAUAAUGGGGGGAUACAAUCUAUUUCAGAGAAACAGACCAGACAAGAAAGGAGGAGGAGUGGCGUUAUAUGUCAGGGAUGUGUAUACCUGUGAAGAGAUCCAAGAUUUAGAACCUCAAAACCAAAGUGAGAGCAUUUGGGUCAAAAUUAAGGGAGAGAAGAAUAACAGUGACCUCAUUGUGGGAGUUUACUACAGAUCCCCAAGCCAAACGGAGGACAUAGAUGAUGCCUUCCUGGAACAGAUGGCCAAGCAUGCAAAAGGAAGGGAGAUAGUAGUAAUGGGGGACUUCAAUUACCCGGAUAUUUGUUGGAUGUCAAACUCAGCCAAGAGCAUAAGGUCAAACAGAUUCCUCACUGGCCUUGCAGACAACUUCAUUGUCCAGAAAGUGGGAGAAGCAACAAGAGGAACAGCCAUUUUAGAUCUGGUCCUAACCAAUGUUGAUCACCUGGUUAGUGGGGUAGAAGUGGAAGGAUCAUUAGGCGCAAGUGAUCAUGCUCUUCUGAAGUUUACUAUACAGCGGAAAGGAGCAGCCAAGCAUACUAGGACUCAAUUUCUUGACUUUAAGAAAGCUGACUUCAUAAAACUUAGGGAAGUGCUGGGUGAGAUCCCAUGGACAGUAAUACUAAAAGGAAAGGGAGUUCAUGAUGGCUGGGAGUUUGUUAAGAGGGAGAUACUAAAAGCACAACGUCAGGCAAUACCAAUGAGACGGAAACAUGGAAGGUGCCUAAAGAAGCCAGGGUGGCUAUCUAAAGAACUUUUAACUGAGUUAAGAUUAAAAAAGGAUGUGUAC
Podarcis lilfordi (Lilford's wall lizard) is the source of this 1526-nucleotide non-coding RNA. The record is from the annotation of a GenBank genome assembly. NCBI's taxonomy places the organism in Eukaryota, Metazoa, Chordata, Lepidosauria, Squamata, Lacertidae.